GGCGGCAUGCCUAAUACAUGCAAAUCGAACGAAGUACUUGUACUGAGUGGUGAACGGGUGAGUAACACGUAUCCAAUCUACCCUUUGGUUGGGGAUAACUAGUCGAAAGACUGGCUAAUACCGAAUAUCAAUAAUACUAUCGCAUGAGAAAUUAUUGAAAGUUCCGUAUGGAACGCCUUUGGAUGAGGGUGCGGCAUAUCAGAUAGUUGGUGAGGUAACGGCCCACCAAGUCAAUGACGUGUAGCUGUACUGAGAGGUAAAACAGCCACAAUGGGACUGAGACACGGCCCAUACUCCUACGGGAGGCAGCAGUGGGGAAUAUUGCACAAUGGGCGCAAGCCUGAUGCAGCGACGCCGCGUGGGGGAUGAAGGCCUUCGGGUUGUAAACCUCUUUCAGUAUCGACGAAGCUGGAUGGUUUUCUGUUUGGUGACGGUAGGUACAGAAGAAGCACCGGCCAACUACGUGCCAGCAGCCGCGGUAAUACGUAGGGUGCGAGCGUUAUCCGGAAUCACUGGGCGUAAAGAGCUCGUAGGUGGUUUGUCGCGUCGUCCGUGAAAACUCACAGCUUAACUGUGGGCGUGCGGGCGAUACGGGCAGGCUUGAGUACUGUAGGGGAGACUGGAAUUCCUGGUGUAGCGGUGGAAUGCGCAGAUAUCAGGAGGAACACCGGUGGCGAAGGCGGGUCUCUGGGCAGUAACUGACGCUGAGGAGCGAAAGCGUGGGGAGCGAACAGGAUUAGAUACCCUGGUAGUCCACGCUGUAAACGGUGGGUACUAGGUGUGGGUUUCCUUCCUUUAGGGAUCCGUGCCGUAGCUAACGCAUUAAGUACCCCGCCUGGGGAGUACGGCCGCAAGGCUAAAACUCAAAGGAAUUGACGGGGGCCCGCACAAGCGGCGGAGCAUGUGGAUUAAUUCGAUGCAACGCGAAGAACCUUACCUGGGUUUGACAUGCGCAGGACGACUGCAGAGAUGUGGUUUCCCUUGUGGCCUGUGUGCAGGUGGUGCAUGGCUGUCGUCAGCUCGUGUCGUGAGAUGUUGGGUUAAGUCCCGCGACGAGCGCAACCCUUGUCUCAUGUUGCCAGCACGUUAUGGUGGGGACUCGUGAGAGACUGCCGGGGUUAACUCGGAGGAAGGUGGGGAUGACGUCAAGUCAUCAUGCCCCUUAUGUCCAGGGCUUCACACAUGCUACAAUGGCCGGUACAGAGGGCUGCGAGAUUGUAAGGUUGAGCGAAUCCUUUAAAGCCGGUCUCAGUUCGGAUUGGGGUCUGCAACUCGACCCCAUGAAGUCGGAGUCGCUAGUAAUCGCAGAUCAGCAAUGCUGCGGUGAAUACGUUCCCGGGCCUUGUACACACCGCCCGUCACGUCAUGAAAGUCGGUAACACCCGAAGCCAGUGGCCUAACCUUUUGGGGGGAGCUGUCGAAGG
This 1424-nucleotide ribosomal RNA is filed under the name uncultured Mycobacterium sp. RNAcentral describes it as "bacterial SSU rRNA". It matches the Rfam family "Bacterial small subunit ribosomal RNA". Lineage: Bacteria; Bacillati; Actinomycetota; Actinomycetes; Mycobacteriales; Mycobacteriaceae. The record is from RNAcentral.